UACCCCUCACUGGGUUGGUGUGUGGAUU
Molecule: non-coding RNA, 28 nt
Filed under: Rattus norvegicus (Norway rat)
Lineage: Eukaryota; Metazoa; Chordata; Mammalia; Rodentia; Muridae
Source: RNAcentral